CCCUUUGAUACUCUGGGCGGCACGCGCGCUACAAUGGAUGACAAAACGUGAAACACUACCGAAAGGUUCGUUAGUAAAUCACAAAUGUUAAGUCUCGAGUGGGAUAGUUUGUUGCAAUUAAAGACUUGAACUAGGAAUCCCUUGUAGGUACACUGAAGCAUAGUGUACCGAAUACGUCCCUGCCGUUUGUACACACCGCCCGUCGCACCUACCGAUUGAAUGGUCCGGUGAAGCCUCCGGAUUGGCGCGCACCUCGGUGCCGCCGAGAAGUUGGCUAAACCUUACCAUUUAGAGGAAGGUGAAGUCGUAACA
RNAcentral lists this ribosomal RNA (312 nucleotides) under uncultured eukaryote. RNAcentral describes it as "partial 18S ribosomal RNA". It matches the Rfam family "Eukaryotic small subunit ribosomal RNA", at positions 1470 to 1796 of the family's 1831-position model. The record is from RNAcentral.